Molecule: ribosomal RNA, 117 nt
Organism: Ardenticatena maritima
Lineage: Bacteria; Bacillati; Chloroflexota; Ardenticatenia; Ardenticatenales; Ardenticatenaceae
Source: Rfam
GUUGGUGACUUUCGCGGUGGGGGUACACCCGGUCCCAUCCCGAACCCGGCAGUUAAGCCCACCAGCGCCGAUGGUACUGCGCGGGCAGCCGCGUGGGAGAGUAGGUCGUUGCCAACC